Molecule: ribosomal RNA, 468 nt
Filed under: uncultured bacterium
Lineage: Bacteria
Description: partial 16S ribosomal RNA
Rfam family: Bacterial small subunit ribosomal RNA
Source: RNAcentral
GACGAACGCUGGCGGCGUGCUUAACACAUGCAAGUCGAACGGAAAGGCCCUGCUUUUGUGGGGUGCUCGAGUGGCGAACGGGUGAGUAACACGUGAGUAACCUGCCCUUGACUUUGGGAUAACUUCAGGAAACUGGGGCUAAUAUCGGAUAGGAGCUCCUGCUGCAUGGGGGGGGUUGGAAAGUUUCGGCGGUUGGGGAUGGACUCGCGGCUUAUCAGCUUGUUGGUGGGGUAGUGGCUUACCAAGGCUUUGACGGGUAGCCGGCCUGGGAGGGUGACCGGCCACAUUGGGACUGAGAUACGGCCCAGACUCCUACGGGAGGCAGCAGUGGGGAAUAUUGCACAAUGGGCGGAAGCCUGAUGCAGCAACGCCGCGUGCGGGAUGACGGCCUUCGGGUUGUAAACCGCUUUCGCCUGUGACGAAGCGUGAGUGACGGUAAUGGGUAAAGAAGCACCGGCUAACUACGUG